CAGUAGCCACGGUAACACGAAGGGGGCUAGCGUUGCUCGGAAUCACUGGGCGUAAAGGGUGCGUAGGCGGGUCUUUAAGUCAGGGGUGAAAUCCUGGAGCUCAACUCCAGAACUGCCUUUGAUACUGAAGAUCUUGAGUUCGGGAGAGGUGAGUGGAACUGCGAGUGUAGAGGUGAAAUUCGUAGAUAUUCGCAAGAACACCAGUGGCGAAGGCGGCUCACUGGCCCGAUACUGACGCUGAGGCACGAAAGCGUAGGGAGCAAACAGGAUUAGAUACCCGUGUAGUCCCUGUCUCUUAUAC
RNAcentral lists this ribosomal RNA (301 nucleotides) under uncultured bacterium. RNAcentral's name for it is "partial 16S ribosomal RNA". It matches the Rfam family "Bacterial small subunit ribosomal RNA", at positions 509 to 807 of the family's 1533-position model. The record is from RNAcentral.